RNAcentral lists this long non-coding RNA (1284 nucleotides) under Equus caballus (horse). RNAcentral's name for it is "lncRNA (ENSECAG00000049579.1)". The record is from RNAcentral. Lineage: Eukaryota; Metazoa; Chordata; Mammalia; Perissodactyla; Equidae.
AGUCUUUUACUGAGCCUAUGCCUGUGGACUGCAAACUUCACAAGUGUUUUUAUUUCUUUUCUCUCUCCUGGUGGGAUUGGAUGGUUAGAAAGGACUGGAGUUGGGAAUUUUCCUUCCUUCCAUCAGUUAGGCCCUGAUAAUACCCCCAGCAGGACAGAUGAAGGUUAACUACCUUCUCCUGAGGGCAGACCUUGUUAAGAAGAACAGAGUGAUCUGGAGUAUUUCAAAAUGGCUCCUUCCCCCUGCCUCUGCUGGCAGCUCAAGGGGAUUUUUCUCUGAUAUUUACUAUGGGAGCCUAGUUGGCCUCACGGUGUUUGAGCUCAAGGUGGUAAAUCUCACAAAACUGUGGGGGCCCCCUAUGACUUGGUUCCCCCGGAGUUUUUUAUUCUCAGAUGUCCACAAUGAACCUCCAGCAUUUUCAUCAAUUUCAGCCUGGUUUCCCUACCCUGACUCUGCUUCAUGAGAUGCAUGAGGAGAUUUUUCUGUAGCAUUCGCUGUGAGGACCUGUAGAACUUCCGGAGUUCUGGAAGCUAGAAGUCUGAAAUCAAGGUAUCAACAGACGAUGCUCCUUCUGAAGGCUCCAGGGAAGACUCUCCCCUUGCCUCUUGGAGCUUCUGGGUGCUGCUGGCCAUCAUUGCUAUUCCUAGGCUUGGAGCUGCAUCACCCCAAUCUCUGUCCCUUCUUCACACAGCCUUCUCCUUUGUGUGUAAAUAUCUCCACUUGUUUGUGUCACUUCCUAAACGGAGACCAGUGCUUGGAUUUAGGGCUCACUCUGAUCUAAUGUGACCUCCUCUUAACUCGAUUAUACCUGCAAAGAGUAUUUCCAAAUGAGGUCACAUCAACAGGUGCCAGAUGGACAUGACUUUUGGGGAGACACUACUAUGAAAACCAUGCUUAGCUCAAAGGCCAUACAAAAACAGGCCACAGGAUGAAUUCCGCUCACGUGCUAUCAUCUGCUGACCCCUGGUAUGAGUAUUGUAAUGUCAAACCAAACUUAGAGUAAACUCAAAGAUUUUAUUUCCGACUGUAUAACAACUAGGAAAAGGUCAAAUAUUUUAAAAAGUCAUUUUCAGAGACUGGCGCAUUUUGUCAUGUAUAGCACACCAGGGACCGCAUCCAGUUGAGGAAGCUAGAAGCAGAGGAGGUAGAAUGAACCCUAAUAAUAUGUGAUUAAAAAACAGAGUCCUGUCAAGUGAGGCAAAACAACCAUAAUUUGAGAUGGCUAGCAUUCUUAUUUUUACUUCAAAAAACAAACAAAAAAAAGUGUUUUUAUGUUAACAUCUG